RNAcentral lists this ribosomal RNA (1383 nucleotides) under uncultured bacterium. Its description in RNAcentral is "partial 16S ribosomal RNA". It matches the Rfam family "Bacterial small subunit ribosomal RNA". The record is from RNAcentral.
GAAUUCGCCCUUAGAGUUUGAUCCUGGCUCAGGACGAACGCUGGCGGCGUGCUUAACACAUGCAAGUCGAGCGAUGAAGCUUCUUCGGAAGUGGAUUAGCGGCGGACGGGUGAGUAACACGUGGGUAACCUGCCUUGUAGAGAGGAAUAGCCAUUCGAAAGGAUGAUUAAUACCUCAUAAUAUUGUAGCUUCGCAUGGAGCAACAAUCAAAGGAGCAAUCCGCUACAAGAUGGACCCGCGGCGCAUUAGCUAGUUGGUGAGGUAACGGCUCACCAAGUCAACGAUCGGUAGCCGACCUGAGAGGGUGAUCGGCCACAUUGGAACUGAGACACGGUCCAAACUCCUACGGGAGGCAGCAGUGGAGAAUCUUGCACAAUGGGGGAAACCCUGAUGCAGCAACGCCGCGUGAAGGAUGAAGGCCUUUGGGUCGUAAACUUCUGUUCUAAGGGAAGAUAAUGACGGUACCUUAGGAGCAAGUCCCGGCUAACUACGUGCCAGCAGCCGCGGUAAUACGUAGGGGGCGAGCGUUAUCCGGAAUUAUUGGGCGUAAAGAGUACGUAGGUGGUUUCCUAAGCAUGGGGUUUAAGGCAAAGGCUUAACCAUUGUUCGCCCCAUGAACUGGGUUACUUGAGUGCUGGAGGGGAAAGCGGAAUUCCUAGUGUAGCGGUGAAAUGCAUAGAUAUUGCGCAGAACUCCGAUUGCGAAGGCAGCUUUCCAGCACGCCACUGACGCUCAUGCACGAAAGCGUGGGUAUCGAACAGGAUUAGAUACCCUGGUAGUCCACGCGGUAAACGAUGAUAACUAGUUAUUCGCCAAAAUUGAUUGGUGAGUGACCGAGCGAAAGCGUUAAGUUAUCCACCUGGGGAGUACGUUCGCAAGAAUGAAACUCAAAGGAAUUGACGGGGGCCCGCACAAGCGGAGGAACAUGUGGUUUAAUUCGAUGAUACGCGAGGAACCUUACCCGGGCUCGAACGGCUAGUGAACGACUCAGAGAUGAGAAGGUCCUCCGGGACACUAGUCGAGGUGCUGCAUGGUUGUCGUCAGCUCGUGUCGUGAGAUGUUGGCUUAAGUGCCAUAACGAGCGCAACCCUUGUCGCCAGUUACCAUCAUUCAGUUGGGGACUCUGGCGAGACUGCCACCGCAAGGUGUGAGGAAGGCGGGGAUGACGUCAAAUCAGCACGGCCCUUACGUCCGGGGCGACACACGUGUUACAAUGGUAGCUACAGAGGGAAGCCACCUGGUGACAGGGAGCAGAUCUCGAAAAGCUAUCUCAGUUCGGAUUGGAGUCUGCAACUCGACUCCAUGAAGCUGGAUUCGCUAGUAAUCGCGCAUCAGCCAUGGCGCGGUGAAUACGUUCCCGGGCCUUGCACACACCGCCCGUCA